This 492-nucleotide ribosomal RNA is filed under the name uncultured bacterium. Its description in RNAcentral is "partial 16S ribosomal RNA". It matches the Rfam family "Bacterial small subunit ribosomal RNA", at positions 29 to 507 of the family's 1533-position model. The record is from RNAcentral.
AGUGAACGCUGGCGGUAGGCCUAACACAUGCAAGUCGAACGGCAGCACAGUAAGAGCUUGCUCUUACGGGUGGCGAGUGGCGGACGGGUGAGGAAUACAUCGGAAUCUACUUUUUCGUGGGGGAUAACGUAGGGAAACUUACGCUAAUACCGCAUACGGCCUACGGGUGAAAGCAGGGGAUCUUCGGACCUUGCGCGAUUGAAUGCGCCGAUGUCGGAUUAGCUAGUUGGCGGGGUAAAGGCCCACCAAGGCGACGAUCCGUAGCUGGUCUGAGAGGAUGAUCAGCCACACUGGAAGUGAGACACGGUCAAGACUCCUACGGGAGGCAGCAGUGGGGAAUAUUGGACAAUGGGCGCAAGCCUGAUCCAGCCAUACCGCGUGGGUGAAGAAGGCCUUCGGGUUGGAAAGCCCUUUUGUUGGGAAAGAAAAGCAGCAGGUUAAUACCCCGCUGUUCUGACGGUACCCAAAGAAUAAGCACCGGCUAACUUCGUG